Molecule: long non-coding RNA, 1100 nt
Organism: Folsomia candida
Lineage: Eukaryota; Metazoa; Arthropoda; Collembola; Entomobryomorpha; Isotomidae
Exons: 5
Source: RefSeq, a predicted model, not a curated record
CUCGUUGUAUGCUAAACUUUACUCUGGAGGAGUAACCGCAUUUCAGAACAAAGUAAAUAUUCAAAGCCGAGACACCACACUAACCAAACCAUACCACACGCAGAACCUUUCUGCAUUGCAAGGACGAUGGGACUGCUUAUAAUUGAGGGCACUAUUGGCCUUGAUGAAUAAAAAAACCAAUAUACAUACAGAAGUAUGCUCGCUCUGUCGUUGUAAAUAUGGCUACGAUUAUAUUCUUGCCUUGGAUGGAUAUUAUUACCUGUUGAAAACAUCAGCUGAUAAGUUUGGGAAUCAGAAACUCGAUUCCGGUGAAUAUCAAUCACAGUUUGCAGAGUCAACGAGAGGGAUACGUGAUUUGCGAGCACAAGCAGGCUGGAUUUGGAAACAUGAGCGAGAUGAAUAUUAUGUGGAAGGUGAUUCAGAGAAAAUCCUCUUUCAAGUAUGUUUCUUUUGCCCUUCUCCAAGAUUACAAUUCAACGCAAAGGUUGGAGUGCUCGGGUUGCCGGAAGGGAGAACUACUGUUUACGUCAAUUCCAAGAUAACAUGGAGGAGACUGAAACCUCGAUAACAUCAAUGAGUAGCAGGGGUAAAUACUUCAAAGAAAAUCUUGGUUAAUAACAAUUCAUGCCAUCCUUUUUCCUAGAGGCGUUCUUUCACUCCCAGCCAAAGUAUCUGUUGAGCUUAAACUGACAAUCGUCCUCCAUGCAGGAUGGAUAUUGUAUUUUUUAAUUUAACAACAUUUUUCCAUAAAUACAUCACAGUUCUUUGAUGUACAAAUAUUCAAGGCCAACGCAUAAUAUGUCCACUGUUCCCAAGCAAAUAGAUCACACAACAUAAAAAAUACAUGGUAUCCUUUAUCCUUUAUAAAGGUUAAUAUUUAAUUGUAACAUUGUGAACCAUCUUCCCACGCGGGAUUUACUUGCCAAUAAACAUACCAGGCUCAAAUAUCUGGUGGUAUUGAUAAAAAAUAAGGGCACUUAAACUAAUUGUUAUUAGUUCCUAUCCUCCGCUGACGGUGUACAACUUGUGUGGUGACAGCCUGAUCAAUUGGACCACAAGACGGUGGUUGAUGUAUAAUGAGCAUGACAAGAAAUAAUAAA